Molecule: long non-coding RNA, 900 nt
Organism: Mus musculus (house mouse)
Lineage: Eukaryota; Metazoa; Chordata; Mammalia; Rodentia; Muridae
Product: predicted gene, 53692
Exons: 2
Source: RefSeq, a predicted model, not a curated record
UCUUAGUCAGGAAACUACACAGAGAGAGGUAAGGGUCAAAAAACUUAAAUAUCCAAUGGGAGAGUCUGACUUCCUCUGUGGUUUCUCCAUCGCUCCCGUCCUCUCACUGGCACCCUUUAGAUGAUCCUGUGCUUCCCUUUUUGUGACUGCACCCCCGCCCCCACCCCACGACUGAAAAACCCUCUCUUACACUGUUCCUCACCCCACUUUAUCAGGAAAAGCACGAGAACAGAACUUACAUGACACCUGGCUGGGAGCAAAGGCUGCUGGUUUCAAAAUAGUCAACGAUGAAUUGGCGUGGAAUCUUCCGGCUGUAGGAGAAGCAGCAGGCAGUCGGGGUGUCAGCUCCAUCUGUAGGGGAAGAAAGUCAUCAUUGAACAGGCUUUCUCUAAUACCAGAAGUCAGCAAAGAAGACACCAGAGCAUCACCAUAAGACAUCCCAGAGGCAGAGCUCCUUAAGAAUCCCAGGGCUGGCUAGUAAGUACAUGACAACACUAUCCUUACUGUGAUUUCAAGUUCUGGGUACCUAUAAAAGGUUAGACCCUUCCACACCAUAGAGAGGAAAAUAAAAAUCUCAAAGAGAAAGACCAGCUUCUUUUCUCUUGUAGACUCUGAAACCACAGAAAAGACUGCUAUGGUCUGCCUUAGACCAGAGACUGGGGACACCUCCUGUAGCAGUGUAGACUCACAUGGCGCUGAGAAGACUUGGUUGCAGAGUGUCAUGGUACAGAGAAGAACAGCAAGGGCAGUGGUGGAGACCUUCAUGAUGUUGAGCAGGUGACAGAGGGUGAGCUUGUCAGCAGAACAGAAAAGGGACUGGUACUCGCUGCUGCUUGUAUCCUUCUGGUGUCUGAAGCCAUAUGCCCCUUCUCUUAUAGGUAGCCCUAGCAGAUGAGGAAA